Molecule: unclassified non-coding RNA, 183 nt
Filed under: uncultured fungus
Lineage: Eukaryota; Fungi
Description: sequence contains ITS1
Source: RNAcentral
UUGACUUCAAAAAUUGGGUUGGGGUGUCGCAGUCGCAGACUCCCGCCCCUUCCCUCCCCUAACUGGGGAACCCUAUGUCUAUUUGUACCCUCCUGUUUCCUCGGCAGGUGUGCCUGCCAGCGAGGACCCCCUAAAACUCUUUGCUGUAGUGGUAGUGCUAGUCUGAAAUACGUAAAUAUCUCA